AUUGAACGCUGGCGGCAGGCCUAACCCAUGCAAGUCGAGCGGAUGAAGGGAGCUUGCUCCUGGAUUCAGCGGCGGACGGGUGAGUAAGGCCUAGGAAUCUGCCUGGUAGGGGGGGAUAACGUCCGGAAAGGGGCGCUAAUACCGCAUACGUCCGGAGGGGGAAAGUGGGGGAUCUUCGGACCUCACGCUAUAAGAUGAGCCUAGGUCGGAUUAGCUAGUUGGUGGGGUAAAGGCCUACCAAGGCGACGAUCCGUAACUGGUCUGAGAGGAUGAUCAGUCACACUGGAACUGAGACACGGUCCAGACUCCUACGGGAGGCAGCAGUGGGGAAUAUUGGACAAUGGGCGAAAGCCUGAUCCAGCCAUGCCGCGUGUGUGAAGAAGGUCUUCGGAUUGUAAAGCACUUUAAGUUGGGAGGAAGGGCAGUAAGUUAAUACCUUGCUGUUUUGACGUUACCAACAGAAUAAGCACCGGCUAACUUCGUG
Molecule: ribosomal RNA, 484 nt
Filed under: uncultured bacterium
Lineage: Bacteria
Description: partial 16S ribosomal RNA
Rfam family: Bacterial small subunit ribosomal RNA
Source: RNAcentral